UGUUUGAUGUUCUAACGUUGGCCCCUGAUCGGGGUUGCGGACAGUGUCUGGUGGGUAGUUUGACUGGGGCGGUCUCCUCCUAAAGAGUAACGGAGGAGCACGAAGGUUGGCUAAUCCUGGUCGGACAUCAGGAGGUUAGUGCAAUGGCAUAAGCCAGCUUGACUGCGAGCGUGACGGCGCGAGCAGGUGCGAAAGCAGGUCAUAGUGAUCCGGUGGUUCUGAAUGGAAGGGCCAUCGCUCAACGGAUAAAAGGUACUCCGGGGAUAACAGGCUGAUACCGCCCAAGAGUUCAUAUCGACGGCGGUGUUUGGCACCUCGAUGUCGGCUCAUCACAUCCUGGGGCUGAAGUAGGUCCCAAGGGUAUGGCUGUUCGCCAUUUAAAGUGGUACGCGAGCUGGGUUUAGAACGUCGUGAGACAGUUCGGUCCCUAUCUGCCGUGGGCGCUGGAGAACUGAGGGGGGCUGCUCCUAGUACGAGAGGACCGGAGUGGACGCAUCACUGGUGUUCGGGUUGUCAUGCCAAUGGCACUGCCCGGUAGCUAAAUGCGGAAGAGAUAAGUGCUGAAAGCAUCUAAGCACGAAACUUGCCCCGAGAUGAGUUCUCCCUGAGAC
RNAcentral lists this ribosomal RNA (611 nucleotides) under Escherichia coli. RNAcentral's name for it is "partial 23S ribosomal RNA". It matches the Rfam family "Bacterial large subunit ribosomal RNA", at positions 2211 to 2821 of the family's 2925-position model. Lineage: Bacteria; Pseudomonadati; Pseudomonadota; Gammaproteobacteria; Enterobacterales; Enterobacteriaceae. The record is from RNAcentral.